RNAcentral lists this ribosomal RNA (222 nucleotides) under uncultured bacterium. RNAcentral's name for it is "partial 16S ribosomal RNA". It matches the Rfam family "Bacterial small subunit ribosomal RNA", at positions 109 to 334 of the family's 1533-position model. The record is from RNAcentral.
AGUAAUGUAUGGGGAUCUGCCCGAUAGAGGGGGAUAACUACUGGAAACGGUGGCUAAUACCGCAUAAUGUCUACGGACCAAAGCAGGGGCUCUUCGGACCUUGCACUAUCGGAUGAACCCAUACGGGAUUAGCUAGUAGGUGGGGUAAAGGCUCACCUAGGCGACGAUCUCUAGCUGGUCUGAGAGGAUGAUCAGCCACACUGGGACUGAGACACGGCCCAG